GAACGCGAAGAACCUUACAGGUCUUGACAUCCUGCGCUACACCUAGAGAUAGGUGGUUCCCUUCGGGGACGCAGAGACAGGUGGUGCAUGGCUGUCGUCAGCUCGUGUCGUGAGAUGUUGGGUUAAGUCCCGCAACGAGCGCAACCCUUGUCUUUAGUUGCCAUCAUUAAGUUGGGCACUCUAAAGAGACUGCCGGUGACAAACCGGAGGAAGGUGGGGAUGACGUCAAGUCAUCAUGCCCCUUAUGACCUGGGCUACACACGUGCUACAAUGGGCAGUACAACGAGAAGCGAACCCGCGAGGGUAAGCGGAUCUCUUAAAGCUGUUCUCAGUUCGGACUGCAGGCUGCAACUCGCCCGCACGAAGCUGGAAUCGCUAGUAAUCGCGGAUCAGCACGCCGCGGUGAAUACGUUCCCGGGUCUUGUACACACC
Molecule: ribosomal RNA, 432 nt
Filed under: uncultured bacterium
Lineage: Bacteria
Description: bacterial SSU rRNA
Rfam family: Bacterial small subunit ribosomal RNA
Source: RNAcentral